CUUGCUCCACCGGAGAAGAAGAGUGGCGAACGGGGGAGUAACACGUGGGUAACCUGCCCAUCAGAACGGGAUAACACUUGGAAACAGGUGCUAAUACCGUAUAACAAUCGAAACCGCAUGGUUUUGAUUUGAAAGGCGCUUUCGGGUGUUCUGAUGGAUGGACCCGCGGUGCAUUAACUAGUUGGUGAGGUAACGGCUCACCUGGCCACGAUGCAUAGCCGACCUGAGAGGGUGAUCGGCCACGUUGGGACUGAAACACGGCCCAAACUCCUACGGGAGGCAACAUUAGGGAAUCUUCGGCAAUGGACGAAAGUCUGACCGAGCAACGCCGCGUGAGUGAAGAAUGUUUUCGGAUCGUAGAACUCUGUUGUUAGAGAAAAACAAGGAUGAUAGUAACUGUUCAUCCCUUGACGGUAUCUAACCAGAAAGCCACGGCUAACUACGUGCCAGCAGCCGCGGUAAUACGUAGGUGGCAAGCGUUGUCCGGAUUUAUUGGGCGUAAAGCGAGCGCAUGCGGGUUUGCUUAUGUCU
RNAcentral lists this ribosomal RNA (531 nucleotides) under Enterococcus faecium. Its description in RNAcentral is "bacterial SSU rRNA". It matches the Rfam family "Bacterial small subunit ribosomal RNA", at positions 71 to 592 of the family's 1533-position model. Lineage: Bacteria; Bacillati; Bacillota; Bacilli; Lactobacillales; Enterococcaceae. The record is from RNAcentral.